Molecule: non-coding RNA, 71 nt
Organism: Podarcis lilfordi (Lilford's wall lizard)
Lineage: Eukaryota; Metazoa; Chordata; Lepidosauria; Squamata; Lacertidae
Source: the annotation of a GenBank genome assembly
AGGGCUGUAGCUCAGUAGUAGAGCAUCUGCUUUGCAUGCAGAAAACCCAGGUUCUGUUCUGGGUAAUUCUA